AAUCCUAUCCUAAUUACAAGUUCAAUUCUAACUACAAUAUGAGCUUUGUAAUUCAACAACACAUUACGAAUCUAAAAUUACCAAAACAUCUACCAAUAGACCAAUCCAUUAACCCUUAACUCUAGCACAUGGUAACUAUUAAUUGUGACUGUAGCCUAAACACAAACUUAGCUAUUAGUCCAUGUUUGAUCAACUGUCUUGCUUCAACAAUCGAUAUUACGACAUAAGGACUGGGCUAAAAAACAACAAUUAGAUUAAGCUACAGAUGAAUCAAAUAACAUAUAAGGUAAACAUCAUGGAAGAAAUAUAGAUAUGGCACAAAUAGAUCUACUACCACUACUUAAUACUGCUUUUUAUUCCAUCUUCAAACUGAAAUUACAUCAUGACGGACUUGGAAUUUGCACCUGGAGAUUAAAGGAAAAAGGUGAAGAAUUAGCACAACAAUAAAACAACAGCUCAAACAACAAGAAAUCACCAAUUUUUGACACUUAAACCUAGUAAAUUAUCUCAGGGAAAACCCAAGGAAAAAUUAACCCUCAACUAGCUUGUAUAAAAAAUUUUAAUAACCAAACAUCACCUUUUCGAAGAUAAAAUAAGAGUUUUGUCUUUUUAGAAAUGAAAUGAAUCACUGAAUCCUCAAUGGAACAGUAGAACUACUAUCAAAAUUUUUGCUGUUUCAAUUUUUUGUAUUUUUU
This 695-nucleotide long non-coding RNA is filed under the name Nicotiana benthamiana. RNAcentral describes it as "long non-coding RNA (NBEN_LNC005614)". The record is from RNAcentral. Lineage: Eukaryota; Viridiplantae; Streptophyta; Magnoliopsida; Solanales; Solanaceae.